This 23-nucleotide microRNA is filed under the name Sarcophilus harrisii (Tasmanian devil). RNAcentral describes it as "Sha-Mir-7371-o24_5p* (star (passenger))". The record is from RNAcentral. Lineage: Eukaryota; Metazoa; Chordata; Mammalia; Dasyuromorphia; Dasyuridae.
AGUUGUACGUGGCACUACAUUUU